GGAAACACCCGUUCCCAUCCCGAACACGGAAGUUAAGCUCUCCAGCGCCGAUGGUAGUUGGGGCCAGCGCCCCUGCAAGAGUAGGUCGUUGCUAGGC
Molecule: ribosomal RNA, 97 nt
Filed under: Geobacillus sp. 44C
Lineage: Bacteria; Bacillati; Bacillota; Bacilli; Caryophanales; Anoxybacillaceae
Source: RNAcentral